RNAcentral lists this ribosomal RNA (439 nucleotides) under uncultured bacterium. RNAcentral describes it as "bacterial SSU rRNA". It matches the Rfam family "Bacterial small subunit ribosomal RNA", at positions 959 to 1397 of the family's 1533-position model. The record is from RNAcentral.
ACGCGUGGAACCUUACCAGGUCUUGACAUCCUCUGACACUCCUAGAGAUAGGACGUUCCCCUUCGGGGGACAGAGUGACAGGUGGUGCAUGGUUGUCGUCAGCUCGUGUCGUGAGAUGUUGGGUUAAGUCCCGCAACGAGCGCAACCCUUGAUCUUAGUUGCCAGCAUUUAGUUGGGCACUCUAAGGUGACUGCCGGUGACAAACCGGAGGAAGGUGGGGAUGACGUCAAAUCAUCAUGCCCCUUAUGACCUGGGCUACACACGUGCUACAAUGGAUGGUACAAAGGGCUGCAAGACCGCGAGGUUUAGCCAAUCCCAUAAAACCAUUCUCAGUUCGGAUUGCAGGCUGCAACUCGCCUGCAUGAAGCUGGAAUCGCUAGUAAUCGCGGAUCAGCAUGCCGCGGUGAAUACGUUCCCGGGCCUUGCACACACCGCCCGU